CCAGCUUCAGAUGAGAAGCGUUUGCUUUACCUUAAAAAAUCUGGGAUUGUUUCACAGACCUGAGCAAACAGCGAUGGUACUUCCAAAAGCAAAUGGUACGCCUGUGUCUCACUGCAGCAUCGUUCACUUGACUGGACAGCCUUGGCAUGGCACACACCUUGUGGGCUUGCUAAAGUCCUACAUCUCACAAGUUAGUCCAAUCUCUUGACAAUAAAGGUUGAAGACAAAAUCAUCCAUUUUCGACAAAUACAUAAGAUUAUAUCUACUGACUGUGGCAAGAAGAGAAAAUAUGGCCCCUUCUACAAACCAGGGGAUGACCAAUGAAUCCUGAAGAUAUCUAUAUAGGGCUGGACUACGCUGAUUAGGAUAGGAGGAUGCCAGAGCAGAAUAAGCCUGCGAAGUUCGCUGCAGCUGGAGCCACUUCAGAUCUAGGCAGGUCUCAAAACCAGAUUCUGUUUUUACUGAUCAUAGGACUGGGAUUAAUGGGUUUCUUUUGAGGUAAUCUUCACAGCAGUACACCCUUGGUUUGUUGCAGGGUCCUGUUGGCCUGGACCUUGUCCUUAGUUAGGCUUUGGUCACCAGUAUGUAACAGCAAGGGCUGCAGCUGCAGCACAACCACUGUAACCAACUCACAUAACCUUCUUAUAAUGUACAUUCCUCUUUCAAUCUUUUUUCUUGAAAUAAAAAGUAUUUUUAAGAAGAAAAUAUGUAGUCUUCAUGUUACGGUAACACAUUGUGAACAAUUUACCACGACUAGGAAAAAUUUGCCAUAGGGUUAAUUAAAUUCACUGUUUAGGAAAAAAAAAAAAAAGCAAAACCCAAUUUUCUCAUCUGCCAGUAAUUAGAUCUUGUUAUACUUUGUCAGCUAGACAGAGAAGCUCUCCAUUACAAAAUACCUAUUCCCUCUGGUACCCACAGACUGGGAUCUAAACACCUCUUAACAUGCUACUUGAUGAAUUCUCAUUGCUCACUAAGAGAUGCACUUUCCAACCUUGCAGUUGUUUGCUUGGCUCCCAUCUGAAUCCUAAGAAGUAUUUUGCUAUCCAUCCUGAGCUGCAGACUGUAGUAGACAUUUCAAUUCCAAAAUAUAUACUGGCACAAAAUAAGAAAG
This is a long non-coding RNA of Cygnus olor (mute swan), 1111 nucleotides long. RefSeq lists it as uncharacterized. The record is from RefSeq and is a predicted model, not a curated record. NCBI's taxonomy places the organism in Eukaryota, Metazoa, Chordata, Aves, Anseriformes, Anatidae. The transcript has 3 exons.